AAAGAAACCAACAGGGAUUGCCCCAGUAACGGCGAGUGAAGCGGCAACAGCUCAAAUUUGAAAUCUGGCCUCGGCCCGAGUUGUAAUUUGCAGAGGAUGUUUCUGGCGCGGUGCCUUCUGAGUUCCCUGGAACGGGACGCCAUAGAGGGUGAGAGCCCCGUACGGUUGGACGCCUAGCCUGUGUGAAACUCCUUCGACGAGUCGAGUAGUUUGGGAAUGCUGCUCAAAAUGGGAGGUAUAUCUCUUCUAAAGCUAAAUACCGGCCAGAGACCGAUAGCGCACAAGUAGAGUGAUCGAAAGAUGAAAAGCACCUUGAAAAGGGGGUUAAACAGCACGUGAAAUUGUUGAAAGGGAAGCGCCCAUGACCAGACUUGUGCCCGGCGGAUCACCCAGCGUUCUCGCUGGGGCACUCCGCCGGGUCCAGGCCAGCAUCGGUUUUCGCCGGGGGAUAAAGGCUCUGGGAACGUAGCUCCUCCGGGAGUGUUAUAGCCCUCUGCGUAAUACCCUGGCGGGGACCGAGGUACGCGCUCCGCAAGGA
RNAcentral lists this ribosomal RNA (538 nucleotides) under Phaeoacremonium sp. MMB141. RNAcentral's name for it is "eukaryotic LSU rRNA". It matches the Rfam family "Eukaryotic large subunit ribosomal RNA", at positions 58 to 610 of the family's 3401-position model. The record is from RNAcentral. Lineage: Eukaryota; Fungi; Ascomycota; Sordariomycetes; Togniniales; Togniniaceae.